RNAcentral lists this ribosomal RNA (497 nucleotides) under uncultured bacterium. RNAcentral's name for it is "partial 16S ribosomal RNA". It matches the Rfam family "Bacterial small subunit ribosomal RNA", at positions 28 to 507 of the family's 1533-position model. The record is from RNAcentral.
GAUGAACGCUGGCGGCGUGCCUAAUACAUGCAAGUCGAGCGAACAGACGAGGAGCUUGCUCCACUGACGUUAGCGGCGGACGGGUGAGUAACACGUGGAUAACCUACCUAUAAGACUGGGAUAACUUCGGGAAACCGGAGCUAAUACCGGAUAAUAUAUUGAACCGCAUGGUUCAAUAGUGAAAGACGGUUUUGCUGUCACUUAUAGAUGGAUCCGCGCCGCAUUAGCUAGUUGGUAAGGUAACGGCUUACCAAGGCAACGAUGCGUAGCCGACCUGAGAGGGUGAUCGGCCACACUGGAACUGAGACACGGUCCAGACUCCUACGGGAGGCAGCAGUAGGGAAUCUUCCGCAAUGGGCGAAAGCCUGACGGAGCAACGCCGCGUGAGUGAUGAAGGUCUUCGGAUCGUAAAACUCUGUUAUUAGGGAAGAACAAAUGUGUAAGUAACUAUGCACGUCUUGACGGUACCUAAUCAGAAAGCCACGGCUAACUACGUG